RNAcentral lists this ribosomal RNA (404 nucleotides) under uncultured cyanobacterium. RNAcentral's name for it is "bacterial SSU rRNA". It matches the Rfam family "Bacterial small subunit ribosomal RNA", at positions 370 to 788 of the family's 1533-position model. The record is from RNAcentral. Lineage: Bacteria; Bacillati; Cyanobacteriota.
AAUGGGCGCAAGCCUGACGGAGCAAUACCGCGUGAGGGAGGAAGGCUCUUGGGUCGUAAACCUCUUUUAUCAGGGAAGAACACAAUGACGGUACCUGAUGAAUCAGCAUCGGCUAACUCUGUGCCAGCAGCCGCGGUAAUACAGAGGAUGCAAGCGUUAUCCGGAAUUAUUGGGCGUAAAGCGUCCGCAGGUGGUUUUGGUAGUCUGCUGUCAAAGCGCGAGGCUCAACUUCGUAUCGGCGGUGGAAACUCCAAGACUAGAGUUUGGUAGGGGUCACGGGAAUUCCCAGUGUAGCGGUGAAAUGCGUAGAUAUUGGGAAGAACACCAGCGGCGAAAGCGCGUGACUGGGCCUGAACUGACACUCAUGGACGAAAGCUAGGGGAGCGAAAGGGAUUAGAUACCCC